Molecule: ribosomal RNA, 406 nt
Filed under: uncultured prokaryote
Description: bacterial SSU rRNA
Rfam family: Bacterial small subunit ribosomal RNA
Source: RNAcentral
UGGGGAAUAUUGGGCAAUGGGGGGAACCCUGACCCAGCAACGCCGCGUGAAGGAAGAAGGUUUUCGGAUUGUAAACUUCUGUCCUUGGUGAAGAGGAAGAGACGGUAGCCAAGGAGGAAGCCCCGGCUAACUACGUGCCAGCAGCCGCGGUAAAACGUAGGGGGCGAGCGUUGUCCGGAAUUACUGGGCGUAAAGGGCGCGUAGGCGGUCAUUUAAGUCAGAGGUGAAAACUACCGGCUCAACCGGUAGCCUGCCUUUGAAACUGGAUGACUUGAGGGCAGGAGAGGGGAGUGGAAUUCCCAGUGUAGCGGUGAAAUGCGUAGAUAUUGGGAGGAACACCAGUGGCGAAGGCGGCUCUCUGGCCUGUUUCUGACGCUGAGGCGCGAAAGCGUGGGGAGCGAACGGG